Molecule: long non-coding RNA, 388 nt
Filed under: Oryza brachyantha (malo sina)
Lineage: Eukaryota; Viridiplantae; Streptophyta; Magnoliopsida; Poales; Poaceae
Description: long non-coding RNA (OBRA_LNC003219)
Source: RNAcentral
CAUCGGGAGACUCCGCCUAUGGAUUAAUUAUUCGACUAAUCCGUCCUCCUCCUGGCGAGCCGAGCAGUCGCUGGCUCGCUGCAAGCCUUCAAAGGAGACUCGGCCUCGACCGCGCUUUAUAUAUUCUCAUUGCUGCACAACAACAGGGGUGACUGAAAUAAUCGUUGCUAAUCCUAGACUCUGGUGUAACUUUGCCUUUGCUUCAUAAGUUCUACCUUUAAUAUAAUGGACUUAAUUACUGCUUAUCAAAUAAAGCUUGCCAAGAACAGUUAUAGCAUGAUAGAAAGAAGUAUCCACAGGUUCCUCUUGAAAUCUCUCAUCGGAAAUUACGUUCUCUUGUAGGCUUUUGGCCCUGUGUUUUUAACCAUGAGUGCUAGGCAUAGUGAGA